UACGGGGGGUGCGAGCGUUGUCCGGAAUCACUGGGCGUAAAGGGCGCGUAGGUGGUUUGAUAAGGGUGUGGUGAAAGUCCGGGGCUCAACCCCGGAUCUGCCGUGCCGACUGUCAAACUCGAGGGCUGUAGAGGCAGACGGAAUUCCGGGUGUAGCGGUGGAAUGCGUAGAGAUCCGGAGGAAGACCGGUGGCGAAGGCGGGUCUCUGGGCCGAUACUGACGCUGAGGAGCGAAAGCGUGGGGAGCGAACAGG
RNAcentral lists this ribosomal RNA (253 nucleotides) under uncultured bacterium. RNAcentral's name for it is "partial 16S ribosomal RNA". It matches the Rfam family "Bacterial small subunit ribosomal RNA", at positions 524 to 776 of the family's 1533-position model. The record is from RNAcentral.